Loxodonta africana (African savanna elephant) is the source of this 1322-nucleotide long non-coding RNA. RefSeq lists it as uncharacterized. The transcript has 2 exons. The record is from RefSeq and is a predicted model, not a curated record. NCBI's taxonomy places the organism in Eukaryota, Metazoa, Chordata, Mammalia, Proboscidea, Elephantidae.
UCAGCCACUCCCCCACCCCAAAUCCCCUUCUACUAGAGUCUAGUCACCUGCCUCUCCCUCCAUGAGGGCCCCUCCCAUCCAUCCUAAAUUGACACAAAGUGCCCACCUGUUGUUUUCUUCGCCCAAAUCACAAAUCACUAGACCUUAAGAAACUUCAGAAACAAUCCCCUUUAGUCUUCUCACAUGAAAUGGUGAAACUGAGGGCAGUGAGAACAAGGGGCUUGCCUAAGGGAAUGGUGUGAUUUGUGCUAGAAGUCAGGUUUUCCGACUCCUAACCCAGUGCUUCAGUCGUUUUCACAGAUAUGUACCACCCCCUUCUAAUGUUCCCGAGCCUUCAUUCUGAACCUGUGCCUCCUGUUCCAACCAGAUCUUGGAACCAAAAUCUAUUCCCAAUCAUUUCUCCUUCAGCUCCUAUCCCCCGCCUCAAUCUACUUUUAAAAAACAUCUACAGAGUAUUGGCUGUGUGUCAGCACUUUUAAAUGGGUUAUUGUCCUUAAUCCUCCGGCAACUGUUCUGUUAGGGGCUCAGGGAGGCGCACUUUCUGGCCCAGCGUCUUAGAGUUGGCAGGCGUUUGAACGAAGAGUCAGUCCUUAGCAUACAUAACUCCAAGCCCAGGCCCUUGUCGCUGCCCCACAGUUGCCUCCUUGGUUUGCCCACCUCCUAACCCCAGAUAUUCAGUUCGGCCCCUAUCCUGAACCCAUCAUCCGCCCCGAGGCAAGUAUCAUCCACUCCCAGAUCUGUAGAAAGGAGCCAGUCCCCACCCCUCAGCCGAACCUCCUUCCUCUCCACCGCCCCGCCUCCUCGGCUUCCUAGUUCAAAAGCAGCCAAGCCAAAACAAGUGUUCAAACAGCCCUGUGCUCGUCUCCAAAAGCUACUAAGCAAGACAGCCUCCAAGAUCCUCCCAAGAUGAAGGGCCUCUUUUUCCUUCUACUCACCACCAGCCUUCUGCUGCUCAUGAUUCAGAUACAAGUAGUGUCCACACAAAACACCACCAGGAAAAGCCCCACGAAGGGUGGCGCCCCCACACUCAGCAGCCUGGGCAGCGGCAGUGUUCUCCUCCUCCUGAACAGCGCCCUCAUCCACUUCUUCCACUUCAGCUGAGGCGACAUGCCUCAGCCCAUGCCCCUGAAACAACUGCCACCACGACUAGCAAGAAGGACCCCUCUCCCUCUAAUCCUUGGGACGUGUUGAUGCCAGAGAUCACCAGGUUGUCGGAACUAACAGGGCAGUGUCUUGGGAGCAAUGGUUAAAACAUGGCGAUCCUGAGCGGAGGAACACGCACCUCACAGCUGGAGAUCAAUAAAGUUAUCUUUGUACUUGGA